AGCUCGUGUCGUGAGAUGUUGGGUUAAGUCCCGCAACGAGCGCAACCCCUACGUUUAGUUGCUAACGCGUGAAGGCGAGCACUCUAGACGAACUGCCGUUGACAAAACGGAGGAAGGUGGGGAUGACGUCAAAUCAUCAUGCCCCUUAUGUUCUGGGCUACACACGUGCUACAAUGGCCGGUACAGACGGACGCAAAGCCGCGAGGCGGAGCAAAUCCGAAAAAGACCGGUCUCAGUUCGGAUUGCAGGCUGCAAUUCGCCUGCAUGAAGUCGGAAUCGCUAGUAAUCGCAGGUCAGCAUACUCGCGGUCCGAAUACGUUCCCGGGCCUU
RNAcentral lists this ribosomal RNA (330 nucleotides) under uncultured Pelotomaculum sp. Its description in RNAcentral is "bacterial SSU rRNA". It matches the Rfam family "Bacterial small subunit ribosomal RNA", at positions 1057 to 1382 of the family's 1533-position model. The record is from RNAcentral. Lineage: Bacteria; Bacillati; Bacillota; Clostridia; Eubacteriales; Desulfotomaculaceae.